GAUGAAGAACGCAACGAAAUGCGAUAAGUAGUGUGAAUUGCAGAAUUCAGUGAAUCAUCGAAUCUUUGAACGCACAUUGCGCCCCUUGGUAUUCCAUGGGGCAUGCCUGUUCGAGCGUCAUUUGUACCUUCAAGCUUUGCUUGGUGUUGGGUGUUUGUCUCGCCUUUGCGUGUAGACUCGCCUUAAAAUAAUUGGCAGCCGGCGUAUUGAUUUCGGAGCGCAGUACAUCUCGCGCUUUGCACUCAUAACGACAGCGUCCAAAAGUACAUUUUACACUCUUGACCUCGGAUCAGGUAGGGAUACCCGCUGAACUUAAGCAUAUCAAUAAGCGGAGGA
RNAcentral lists this unclassified non-coding RNA (336 nucleotides) under soil metagenome. RNAcentral describes it as "partial contains 5.8S ribosomal RNA, internal transcribed spacer 2, and large subunit ribosomal RNA". The stretch from base 1 to 120 matches the Rfam family "5.8S ribosomal RNA", at positions 35 to 154 of the family's 154-position model. The record is from RNAcentral.